UUCGUAGGCGGUGUAGCAAGUUGGGAGUGAAAUCUCUGGGCUCAACUCAGAGGCUGCUUCCAAAACUGCUGUGCUGGAGUGUGGGAGAGGCGCGUGGAAUUGCAGGUGUAGCGGUGAAAUGCGUAGAUAUCUGCAGGAACACCCGUGGCGAAAGCGGCGCGCUGGACCACUACUGACGCUGAGGAACGAAAGCUAGGGGAGCAAACAGGAUUAGAUACCCUGGUAGUCCUAGCCCUAAACGAUCAGGACUUGGGGUGCCACCCGUUCGGGUGUCGUCCCGGAGCUAACGCGUUAAGUCCUGCACCUGGGGAGUACGGUCGCAAGACUGAA
This 330-nucleotide ribosomal RNA is filed under the name uncultured bacterium. RNAcentral describes it as "bacterial SSU rRNA". It matches the Rfam family "Bacterial small subunit ribosomal RNA", at positions 568 to 898 of the family's 1533-position model. The record is from RNAcentral.